RNAcentral lists this ribosomal RNA (630 nucleotides) under uncultured organism. RNAcentral's name for it is "bacterial SSU rRNA". It matches the Rfam family "Bacterial small subunit ribosomal RNA", at positions 40 to 648 of the family's 1533-position model. The record is from RNAcentral.
CGGCGUGGAUUAGGCAUGCAAGUCGAACGGAACUUCUAGCUUUUUCGGAAGUUUAGUGGCGAAAGGGUGAGUAACACGUGGGUUACCUGCCCUAGGGUUCGGGAUAACCUGUCGAAAGACGGGCUAAUACCGGAUACGUCCUGCACUUUUCGAAGUGCAGGGGAAAGAUGGGGAUCCGUAAGGACCUAUCACCCUUGGAUGGGCCCGCGGCCUAUCAGCUAGUUGGUGAGGUAAUGGCUCACCAAGGCUAAGACGGGUAGCUGGUCUGAGAGGAUGGUCAGCCACACUGGAACUGAGACACUGUCCAGACACCUACGGGUGGCUGCAGUCGAGAAUCUUUCGCAAUGGGGGAAACCCUGACGACGCGACGCCGCGUGGAGGAUGAAGGCCUUCGGGUUGUAAACUCCUGUCAGCAGGGGAGAACAAGCUUUCGAUGAAUAAUUGAGAGCUUUGACAGUACCUGCAGAGGAAGCCACGGCUAACUCUGUGCCAGCAGCCGCGGUAAUACAGAGGUGGCAAGCGUUGUUCGGAUUUAUUGGGCGUAAAGGGUCCGUAGGCGGCCUGAAAAGUUGGAUGUGAAAUCCCACAGCUUAACUGUGGAACUGCAUUCAAAACUCUCGGGCUCGAGUG